RNAcentral lists this transfer RNA (65 nucleotides) under Spinactaletes boneti. RNAcentral describes it as "tRNA-Trp". The record is from RNAcentral. Lineage: Eukaryota; Metazoa; Arthropoda; Collembola; Entomobryomorpha; Actaletidae.
AAAGGCUUAAGUUAAUAAAACUAGGGGCCUUCAAAGCCCUCAUUGCGGCCAAGCAGCAGUCUUUA